AACAGAGUGGUCUGAAGAUAUGCUGUGGAGAGAGUGCAACUGAGGAGAAACAGGCCAGCACAAGGUAUGAUUUCUCAGGGUCUGAGAGCAAUUUCAGCAUGGCCAGUGGAUCCAGAAAUACCGAUCAGAAAAAUGACCAGACGAGAGCAACAAAGAUAAGUAAUGGAACACAUCUGGCUUCAACCCUGUGAGAUUGGGGUUGCUGCAGGGGUCAAACUGUCCUGUAAGCAAAGCGCAAAGUGUGACCAUGUUAAAGAGCUUCAUCAUAAACGCAUUUGAAAUUCCAUGAUAAAAGGGGCUGAUAAAUGGAA
Long non-coding RNA from Puntigrus tetrazona (Sumatra barb), 311 nucleotides. RefSeq lists it as uncharacterized. The transcript is spliced from 3 exons. Lineage: Eukaryota; Metazoa; Chordata; Actinopteri; Cypriniformes; Cyprinidae. The record is from RefSeq and is a predicted model, not a curated record.